GCCUACGUAGUUUAGCGGUUAGAAUUCCUCGUUGUGGCCGAGGGGAUCCGGGUUCGACUCCCGGCGUAGGCA
This 72-nucleotide transfer RNA is filed under the name Octopus vulgaris (common octopus). It matches the Rfam family "tRNA". From Rfam's summary of the family: Transfer RNA (tRNA) molecules are approximately 80 nucleotides in length. RNAcentral also lists the same sequence under 1 other name. Lineage: Eukaryota; Metazoa; Mollusca; Cephalopoda; Octopoda; Octopodidae. The record is from Rfam by way of RNAcentral.